GGUCUGGUGGUGUAAUGGUAACACACCUGCUUUACUUGCACUUUGUGGAGCGUUCAGCUGGAGGUCCCUUGUUCGACUCAAGGCCAGGCCA
Non-coding RNA from Mycena latifolia, 91 nucleotides. Lineage: Eukaryota; Fungi; Basidiomycota; Agaricomycetes; Agaricales; Mycenaceae. The record is from the annotation of a GenBank genome assembly.